RNAcentral lists this ribosomal RNA (478 nucleotides) under uncultured soil bacterium. Its description in RNAcentral is "bacterial SSU rRNA". It matches the Rfam family "Bacterial small subunit ribosomal RNA", at positions 26 to 481 of the family's 1533-position model. The record is from RNAcentral.
AGAUUGAACGCUGGCGGCAUGCUUUACACAUGCAAGUCGAACGGGCGUGUUGGGGCAACCGUGGCAGUCAGUGGCGGACGGGUGAGUAAUGCAUCGGAACGUGUCCCGUAGUGGGGGAUAACCCGGCGAAAGCCGGACUAAUACCGCAUAUGCUCUACGGAGGAAAGCGGGGGACCUGAAAGGGCCUCGCGCUAUGGGAGCGGCCGAUGUCCGAUUAGCUUGUUGGUGGGGUAAUGGCCUACCAAGGCGACGAUCGGUAGCUGGUCUGAGAGGAUGAUCAGCCACACUGGGACUGAGACACGGCCCAGACUCCUACGGGAGGCAGCAGGUGGGAAUUUGGACAAGUGGGGCAACCGUGAUACCAGCCAUCGCCGCGUGCGGGAAGAACGGCCGUUCGGGUUCGUAAACCGGUACGUUUUAGGUUACGGGAAAGGAAAGGCGACGGACGAACGUAACCCGUGUUCUUGGACGGUACCGG